GUGUUGCAUGAAAGGAGAGAAGGUUAGCACUCCCCUUGAUAAGGAUGGAACAGGUUCUUGUGGCCUUUGCAACACAUAUAUGGUGAAGAAACACGUUUUCCUUAGAGGUGUGCUUAUAUUUUUA
This is a small nuclear RNA of Protopterus annectens (West African lungfish), 124 nucleotides long. The record is from RefSeq and is a predicted model, not a curated record. Lineage: Eukaryota; Metazoa; Chordata; Ceratodontiformes; Protopteridae.